This 322-nucleotide unclassified non-coding RNA is filed under the name soil metagenome. RNAcentral describes it as "partial contains 5.8S ribosomal RNA, internal transcribed spacer 2, and large subunit ribosomal RNA". The stretch from base 1 to 120 matches the Rfam family "5.8S ribosomal RNA", at positions 35 to 154 of the family's 154-position model. The record is from RNAcentral.
GAUGAAGAACGUAGCGAAAUGCGAUAAGUAAUGCGAAUUGCAGAAUUCAGUGAAUCAUCGAAUCUUUGAACGCACAUUGCGCCCUUUGGCAUUCCGAAGGGCACACCUGUCCGAGCGCCGUCGCACAACUGAGGCGCAGCCUUGCGUUGGCGGGCGACUUGUGAGUAGCGAGUCGCCGCCCAAACGAGACGGCGCCGCGCCGCGGCCGACGAAGCACGAAAGCGGAAGUCGACGCGGAGGCGGUUGCCUGUAGGAAGACACAGCUUGGCCUCGGAUCAGGUGGGGAUACCCGCUGAACUUAAGCAUAUCAAUAAGCGGAGGA